CAAGUUUGCUUGGUGAUCGCGCCUCGCUUCGGCGGGGUGAGGAAAGUCCGCUCUCCAUAGAGCACAGUGCUGGCUAACAGCCAGGCGGGGUGACCCGACGGCAUAGUGCCACAGAGAACAGAUUACGUCGUAAGGCGUGAGGGUGAAACGGCGGUGUAAGAGACCACCAGCAUUCGCAGUGAUGCGAAUGGCUUGGCAAACCCCACUGGGAGCAAGGUCAAGCAGAGGCGAGGGACUGCUCGUCCCGUAAUGAGCUUCGGGUAGACUGCUAGAGGCGUCCGGGUAACCGGCGUCCCAGAGAGAUGAUCACCCCCCGGCGUCAGCCGGGGACAGAAAGCGGCUUACCGGUAAACUUGGGCA
This 360-nucleotide RNase P RNA is filed under the name Anaerolinea sp. RNAcentral describes it as "RNase P RNA component class A". It matches the Rfam family "Bacterial RNase P class A". Rfam says of the family: Ribonuclease P (RNase P) is a ubiquitous endoribonuclease, found in archaea, bacteria and eukarya as well as chloroplasts and mitochondria. RNAcentral also lists the same sequence under 1 other name. Lineage: Bacteria; Bacillati; Chloroflexota; Anaerolineae; Anaerolineales; Anaerolineaceae. The record is from RNAcentral.